Molecule: ribosomal RNA, 422 nt
Filed under: uncultured prokaryote
Description: bacterial SSU rRNA
Rfam family: Bacterial small subunit ribosomal RNA
Source: RNAcentral
UGGGGAAUAUUGCACAAUGGGCGGAAGCCUGAUGCAGCGACGCCGCGUGAGGGAUGGGGGCCUUCGGGUUGUGAACCUCUUUCGCCAGUGAUGAAGGCCUGUCUUUUUUGGGUGGGUUGACGGUAGCUGGGUAAGAAGCGCCGGCUAACUACGUGCCAGCAGCCGCGGUAAUACGUAGGGCGCGAGCGUUGUCCGGAAUUAUUGGGCGUAAAGGGCUCGUAGGCGGCUGGUCGCGUCUGUCGUGAAAUCCUCUGGCUUAACUGGGGGCUUGCGGUGGGUACGGGCCGGCUUGAGUGCGGUAGGGGAGACUGGAAUUCCUGGUGUAGCGGUGGAAUGCGCAGAUAUCAGGAGGAACACCGGUGGCGAAGGCGGGUCUCUGGGCCGUUACUGACGCUGAGGAGCGAAAGCGUGGGGAGCGAACA